CGCGUAGGCGGCGUGACAAGUCAAUUGUGAAAUCUCCGGGCUUAACUCGGAACGGUCAAUUGAUACUGUUGUGCUAGAGUACAGAAGGGGCAAUCGGAAUUCUUGGUGUAGCGGUGAAAUGCGUAGAUAUCAAGAGGAACACCAGAGGUGAAGACGGGUUGCUGGGCUGAUACUGACGCUGAGGCGCGAAAGCUAGGGUAGCAAACG
Molecule: ribosomal RNA, 207 nt
Filed under: uncultured bacterium
Lineage: Bacteria
Description: partial 16S ribosomal RNA
Rfam family: Bacterial small subunit ribosomal RNA
Source: RNAcentral